RNAcentral lists this ribosomal RNA (254 nucleotides) under uncultured bacterium. RNAcentral's name for it is "partial 16S ribosomal RNA". It matches the Rfam family "Bacterial small subunit ribosomal RNA", at positions 524 to 776 of the family's 1533-position model. The record is from RNAcentral.
UACGUAGGGUGCGAGCGUUGCCCGGAUUUAUUGGGCGUAAAGAGCUCGUAGGCGGUGUGUCGCGUCGACCGUGAAAACCUGCAGCUUAACUGUGGGCGUGCGGUCGAUACUGCUAUGACUUGAGUCCGGUAGGGGCGCAUGGAAUUCCCGGUGUAGCGGUGAAAUGCUUAGAUAUCGGGAGGAACACCAGUGGCGAAGGCGGUGCGCUGGGCCGGAACUGACGCUGAGGAGCGAAAGCGUGGGUAGCAAACAGG